GACGAACGCUGGCGGCGUGCCUAAUACAUGCAAGUCGAGCGAAGUUUUUCUGGUGCUUGCACCGGAAAAACUUAGCGGCGAACGGGUGAGUAACACGUAAAGAACCUGCCUCAUAGACUGGGACAACUAUUGGAAACGAUAGCUAAUACCGGAUAACAGCAUUAACUGCAUGGUUGAUGUUUAAAAGUUGGUUUUGCUAACACUAUGAGAUGGCUUUGCGGUGCAUUAGCUAGUUGGUGGGGUAAAGGCCUACCAAGGCGACGAUGCAUAGCCGACCUGAGAGGGUGAUCGGCCACACUGGGACUGAGACACGGCCCAGACUCCUACGGGAGGCAGCAGUAGGGAAUCUUCCGCAAUGGGCGAAAGCCUGACGGAGCAACGCCGCGUGAGUGAAGAAGGAUUUCGGUUCGUAAAGCUCUGUUGUUAGGGAAGAAUGAUUGUGUAGUAACUAUACACAGUAG
RNAcentral lists this ribosomal RNA (461 nucleotides) under Gemella haemolysans. RNAcentral's name for it is "bacterial SSU rRNA". It matches the Rfam family "Bacterial small subunit ribosomal RNA", at positions 28 to 472 of the family's 1533-position model. Lineage: Bacteria; Bacillati; Bacillota; Bacilli; Caryophanales; Gemellaceae. The record is from RNAcentral.